RNAcentral lists this long non-coding RNA (1459 nucleotides) under Sus scrofa (pig). Its description in RNAcentral is "lncRNA (ENSSSCG00050002283.1)". Lineage: Eukaryota; Metazoa; Chordata; Mammalia; Artiodactyla; Suidae. The record is from RNAcentral.
AUGCACUGGGUUCCAGGUCCUGGAGAAGCCGGGGAGGGUGGGGGCAGGUGUCUCUGCGCAUCCGCAUUUUCCAGAACUUUCCUUGGAAGUUGCUGCUACCCUCCAAUAUUCCCUGUAGGUCUGAGCACCCUCCUCCCCGGCAGGGAAGGGGCGGGCCCUGGGAGGUGCCCGGCAGAGGGAGACGAUUCUCUGCCUAAAGGCUGCUCCCCUCUGUGUCUUCUCCUGCUCAGCCUUCUGGGCCAGCAUGUGUCUCCGGCCCCCUGGCCUUCCUCCCUGCCCUGGGUUCGUUCCCAGGGCCCCCUUGGUUGUGUAACUUGGCUCUUACAAACUCAGGGAGGGAGCUGGGGCCCUGGGUGGCUGGGAAGGUGGAGCGAGUCAGCAGCGAAUGUGAAGGAAGGGCCACCGCACAGCACAGCCUAUGCCUCCGGCUCGAAAGCCCAAAGCCCUGGCCGUACCUAGAGGACUGACAUUUACAGCGGUGCCCCCCGACUCCCGCCAGGCUGCACUGCCAGCAAAGAGAUUCAAUUAUGGUCAUUAUGGUGCACUUAGGAAACCCAGGGAGCAGGCUAAUACAUUUCAGAAAGAUUUGCAACAGCAGAGGAUGGAUCAAAACGAGUUUUCUACUUAACCCUCAGUUAAACAGAAAAUCCAUUUAACCACAAGGCAUCGCUCUGUCUUCGCACUCUCCAGUCAAUCAUUUUUUUUUUUCCUUUACUGUCUGUCGCUUCAAUGUAUAGUGUUAUUCCCUGAAGCUGCCUUAGCGUGAAAAAAUCAGUUCAUUGAUGGAGAGAAAGAGGUCCCCAACCUCUGUGGGUUUGCAGCCCCGGAUCCACAUCCUGACCCCUGGCUUUCUCCAAAAGGGCACAGGCGAGCACAUUGCUUCUAUCCAGGGCCGCCAAAUUUGCUGGUAGGCUCUGGAAGAAGCAGCUCCAUGGGUCCAGGGGGGAGAGCUAAUUCUCACCUCCCACGAGCCCCUCCUCCUCCCUCCCGGGAGCAAACCAAACAUCUGCAGUGGUUGGAAGCUCCCCGAAGAGGCCGUGAAAGGAUAUGCUCAGAGGGACCAGAAGGGCUGGAUUCCUCAACCUCCAAGCUCGCUAAGCCACAGCGCGGUGGAGAGAGGAGCUGUCUCGUCGGGAAGGCACGAUCAAGAGAAGGGCUAGGAUUCAAGGCAGCGAGGGUGCUGCCCACGCAAUGGGAAAGAAAAGUUAUCAGCCAGCCAGUUUUCUCUAGCAUGAAACAAAUCGGCAUCAACCACACACAUGGGACAAGACACUCCAGGCACAGAGUUGCCGGAUAAAAUCCAAGAUGCUCAGUCAAGUUUGAAUUUCAGGUAAACAGUAAAUAAUGUUGUAGCUUAUGUUCCAAAUGGUCCACGGGACCAAUACCGACGGGACAUACUUGCCCAGGAAAAAAAAAAAAAAAAGAUUCGCUGUCUAUGCAAAGUUCAAAUUUACCUAAG